UCUUGAUUGGUCUAGUGGUAAGGAUACCUGCUUGUCAAUUUCUGUCUCCUGAUUCAUUGAAAAUAAUAAGUGAUGAAAAGCGAGGAAAUACAGCAAACCGCAGGUGGCCGGGGUUCGAUUCCCCGAUCGAGAG
Molecule: non-coding RNA, 133 nt
Organism: Xylariaceae sp. FL0594
Lineage: Eukaryota; Fungi; Ascomycota; Sordariomycetes; Xylariales; Xylariaceae
Source: the annotation of a GenBank genome assembly